UCACUCACUCUGAACCCACUGCCGCCGAGCCGACUCCAGCGCAGCCUGUCUCGUUGAUGAUCAAGGGGAAAGAGAAGAUAGUAAACUGGCUUGGCCAUGGGCUACGUCUUUCUGCUAGCCAUAGGCCGAAGGAGGAAGCAAGAUGACACGUCCACUAACUUCAUUCCACUCUUGGAAACAUCUUUGACGGAAACUUCGGAACCAGAAUCAGAACCAGACCCGGGAUUUAUGAUCAAAAGGGCAACAACAGCCACCAGCAUGCCAAUCAAGAACAGCCCGGCGCUCACACCUUCAAUGACGCCAAACAAGGGCUCUGCAGCAAUGGGGGAAACAACAAAAUCCAGGUGGGAAAACAAAAGAACCGAAACCCUCUCUUCCAAGGAGCACGCUGGCAGGCACAGACAGCCUCUAAGUCAGGCCACAGAGAAGGAAGCAAUGGCCAUCCAACAGCUCAGCCAGGCAACUGAUAACGAUGGAACCUGGGCUACUGCCCAUCAUACUCUACACUUCUGUCCUUAUACUCUAAGUUAAUGGGGUCUCACUGACACAGGGCUGUUGGACUUCUUCGGUGCUUGUUUAUAAAGCUUGGGGCAUCUGAGAGAAAGGCCAGUAUUUAGGAUGGAGCACAUGUUGUUUGCCAUCAAAAUAAAAAUGCUAUGUCAUUUUUAUAA
This is a long non-coding RNA of Echinops telfairi (small Madagascar hedgehog), 671 nucleotides long. RefSeq lists it as uncharacterized. Lineage: Eukaryota; Metazoa; Chordata; Mammalia; Afrosoricida; Tenrecidae. The transcript is spliced from 3 exons. The record is from RefSeq and is a predicted model, not a curated record.